Raphanus sativus (radish) is the source of this 1568-nucleotide long non-coding RNA. RefSeq lists it as uncharacterized. The transcript is spliced from 6 exons. NCBI's taxonomy places the organism in Eukaryota, Viridiplantae, Streptophyta, Magnoliopsida, Brassicales, Brassicaceae. The record is from RefSeq and is a predicted model, not a curated record.
UAAAAACAGAGACAAAAAAAAAUCAAUUGAACCCUAUCGUUCUCUCUUCUCCAGCGACACAGUCCUCACCCAAUUACCUCCACGACCAUCACCACCGUCCUCUCCUAUCUGUCUGUCAUCUCCACCUUGUCUCCGUCUAUCUCGUCUCAUCCUCGUCACCACCGUACCUAUCCCCUAGUCUCCUCCUUUGAAAAUAAACAGAUGAUGGAGUGGUUCUUCUUCCAAGACGUUUCGGGUUUUCGAUUUGCCCUCGUCGGAUUCAAUCCCAUCUAUUGGAACACAGAAAUUCCUAUAUCUGCUCAUAUGGGUUUUCAUUUUAAGGGUUUCUGAUUGAUUCUAUGGUAGAAAUCUCCCUUCUUUUGUGAGUGAGUGGUGGUAGUGUUGAUGUUACCAGAAUCUCAUCCUCGUCACAACAGCUCCUCUCCUCCUCGUCUCCUUUUGUGUUUGUGAUAGGCCCACGGGAAUCAAAGUACACAUUUCUUCAAGAAUCUGAUGACCAGAUUCAAGCUUCUUCUGCUAAAGAGUUCAACAAUAUCGUUGGGAUUAAACUAAGACCUAUGAAGUUAUUGUUAGGUGCUCUUGUUGGUCUCUGUUGUCUUUCUCUCAUGCCUUCUUGUCUCAUCGUCUUCUGGCUUGCAGGAGUUGCAGCAGCAGACAAUCUUACUAAACAGAAACUGAACUCGAAGAUACUUCUGGUCUUGUCUGUAUUCUCUUUUUGUUUUCUUGAUACCCUUUUUUGAUCACUACUUACAGUUAAUGUGUGUGAGCAGGAGGAGCAGAAACAUUGUUGACACCUCAUAUCAAGGACUACUCGAGUUUAGUAUUCUCUCAGCUUCAGGAGCUGUCUAGUGUGGUACUUCUUCACUCCAAGGAUCUAAACAUUCCUACUGGAGUUGUUACGGGCUAUUUGAUAUCAUUGCUAUGUCAGGUUCUUUCUUGAAUACUGAGAGUAAUGGUACUUUGAGCAGAACGUGCAUCUUGUUGGUCCUGAUGGUUGUAUUGUGGGCUUUGUUGCUGGAAUGCUAGUUGCUAGGUCACAAGUCCAGGUCAUUGUUGGAAGCUUUGUAUCAGAGAAACUGAAACUGAGCACAAGGCGUGUUGAGAAUAACUUAAGCCAGGUUCAGCUUCACCAUCUGUAUUGGUGGGAAGAGCGUUGGUGAAGUCCAUUAGGAAGCUGGAAAAUGGUGUCCAUGUUGUGUAUGGGACGGGCGUGUAUGUGACAUGAUUAAGAGGAGAAGUCUACGUACCAGAGCUAUUAAGCUUUUGAGUCUUGAUGAAUCUGAUGAGAUGCUGAGCAGACGGUUCAAGGACCGAUAAGCUGAUAAGAUCCGCAACAAACUAAUACCGUGGCGGGGCAGGACUAUGCGGAGUGGUGCCACACUUUGCCAUCACUAACGCAGGUCCCGAUUCUUAUGAAAAGAAGAGGUAGUUCGUUGCCAUCAACAACCAAAGUCUUGGUAAAAAGCUUUUUGUAGAUGUCAUUAGUUUAGAUAUAUUUGUCUCAAAAACAUAAAGCUUUCAUGUUUGUACUAACACUUGUGAUAAUAUAUAAAAUCAUUUUAUGAAUA